Long non-coding RNA from Hylaeus volcanicus, 686 nucleotides. RefSeq lists it as uncharacterized. Lineage: Eukaryota; Metazoa; Arthropoda; Insecta; Hymenoptera; Colletidae. The record is from RefSeq and is a predicted model, not a curated record. The transcript is spliced from 2 exons.
UUCAUCUUAACAAAUUCUUUUCUUUUAUAAAUUACUUUUUGUUCACAUGAUGAUUUAACAUAAUCCCAUGUCCUCUGAAAUAUAUGAUGAGAUUUACUGUUAUAAAAAAAUCUGAUCCUAUCAAAAAGUUGAUAACAAGAGAUCAUACGACUGCUUUUUUUCUAUUAUUUUUAUAAUUCGUUUUCAUGAUGAUUUUCAGGCAUUUGUCGUAUGGUCUUUCAUAAAAUAACUCCUUAGGCGUUUUGCUUUUUGGUGUUACAAUAAUGUUUGUACCUAUGACGACGUUAUCAAUUUCUGAUUUGCUAGUUUUUUUUUCAAGCUAACUUAUUUCUCCUAAUACAUUCGUUUGUAGAAACUUAUCGUGCUUUCUUUUCUUCGUUGUAGUUAUUUUUCACCUUUUACUUAACAAUUUCCGUUCAAAUGCCUUGGUUUGAUUUUUGUUCUUGUAAACGUUAAGUAGAAUGAAUUGAUUAAUUGAAAAUGGAGUUGCUUGCUUGUCUACUAAAAUGAUGAUGUUGGAAAUGAUAGGUCAGAUGAUUACGAUGGUAUUCAUGACGACAACUAUAUGCAAUUUUCACUGAUUUUAUAAAAGCUAGAAAACACCUUUUUUUCUUCGGUGCACUUUUAACACGAGAAGUAAAUUUGCUUUAUGUACAAGACAGUGCAAAAAAUUAUUAUUGUUAUUC